AGGAUGAACGCUGGCGGCGUGCUUAACACAUGCAAGUCGAACGAUGAAGGCUGGAGCUUGCUCUGGCUGGAUUAGUGGCGAACGGGUGAGUAACACGUGAGUAACCUGCCCCAGACUCUGGGAUAAGCGCUGGAAACGGCGUCUAAUACCGGAUACGAGCUUCCACCGCAUGGUGAGGAGCUAGGAAAGAAUUUCGGUCUGGGAUGGACUCGCGGCCUAUCAGUCUUGUUGGUGAGGUAAUGGCUCACCAAGGCGACGGACGGGUAGCCGGCCUGAGGAGGGUCGACCGGCCACACGUGGACUGACGACGACGGCCCAGACGUCCGACGGGAGGCAGCGAGGUAGGGGAAUAGUUGAC
RNAcentral lists this ribosomal RNA (358 nucleotides) under uncultured soil bacterium. RNAcentral describes it as "bacterial SSU rRNA". It matches the Rfam family "Bacterial small subunit ribosomal RNA", at positions 26 to 369 of the family's 1533-position model. The record is from RNAcentral.